CCGUCUUAAAGGGGCCGUGUCCCCAACAAGUCUGGGGACACGGCCUUAAUGGGGCAGUGUCCCAAUCUUCCUGAUGUCCCAAGAAAGGUGUUUAAAGGGCCAGCACCAGUCACAUAAAGAGUCCAUAAGCCCCAAUAUGCCCACCGACAGUCUUAAAGGGUCAUACACACCAAAUAAAAGUGCAUACAUUUUCACAAUCUCCCAGGGGCCAUAGUCAUGCGGGAGGAGGCUGGCAAGUAGGCUUCUCCACAAUCCAGGGAAGCAGGGCAAUUUGCCAUUUAAAGGGCCCGUUACAAAUAGCAGUUUGUAACAAGGUGUCAAUCCAUAUCUGCCAAGUGAC
This 340-nucleotide long non-coding RNA is filed under the name Pelobates cultripes (western spadefoot toad). The record is from RNAcentral. Lineage: Eukaryota; Metazoa; Chordata; Amphibia; Anura; Pelobatidae.